RNAcentral lists this ribosomal RNA (493 nucleotides) under uncultured bacterium. RNAcentral describes it as "partial 16S ribosomal RNA". It matches the Rfam family "Bacterial small subunit ribosomal RNA", at positions 355 to 861 of the family's 1533-position model. The record is from RNAcentral.
UGGGGAAUGAUUCACAAUGGGCGAAAGCCUGAUGCAGCAACGCCGCGUGAGGGACGACGGCCUUCGGGUUGUAAACCUCUUUUAGCAAGGAAGAAGCGAAAGUGACGGUACUUGCAGAAAAAGCGCCGGCUAACUACGUGCCAGCAGCCGCGGUAAUACGUAGGGCGCAAGCGUUAUCCGGAAUUAUUGGGGCGUAAAGAGCUCGUAGGCGGUUUGUCGCGUCUGCUGUGAAAACCCGAGGCUCAACCUCGGGCCUGCAGUGGGUACGGGCAGACUAGAGUGCGGUAGGGGAGAUUGGAACUCCUGGUGUAGCGGUGGAAUGCGCAGAUAUCAGGAAGAACACCGAUGGCGAAGGCAGAUCUCUGGGCCGUAACUGACGCUGAGGAGCGAAAGGGUGGGGAGCAAACAGGCUUAGAUACCCUGGUAGUCCACCCGUAACGUUGGAACUAGUUGUGGGUCCAUUCCACGGAUUCCGUGACGCAGCUAACGCAUU